Pseudomyrmex gracilis is the source of this 1334-nucleotide long non-coding RNA. RefSeq lists it as uncharacterized. Lineage: Eukaryota; Metazoa; Arthropoda; Insecta; Hymenoptera; Formicidae. The record is from RefSeq and is a predicted model, not a curated record. The transcript is spliced from 3 exons.
GUCCGGCCACCAACACGCCGUCGACACCGUCGUCGUCGUUGUCGUUGUCGUCGUUGUCGUCGUCGUCGUCGUCGUCGCGCGAACAACGCUCCUUUCGUCACCUCUCGACCCGGCUUAUUGUUCACCGAUAUUAAUUUUAACGGCGCGUAACAGACGCGCUCACCGGACGAUGACACCGCGGAAACACGAGACGUACCUGCGAUGCAGCGCGGAGUUGCAAGACUGCGCGCUCUCGGAUCGCUCGCAAUAUCAUCUCGUUAUAUAUAGCAACCGACUUGAGCAGCCCGGUUAUUUUCUAAACGAAUGAACAAGAGAGAGCCUUAUUGUCACGCCAUUGUAAUUGUAAAAGAGAAAAAGUGAAAUAACACCGAAAAAAUUAUAUUCUUUAACGUAUAUUUGAGCGAAUAUCUCGGAUCGUCAAGUGUGUCCUUGUGGAUUUGAGCUGUAGAGGAGACGACAAAGUCGGCCUAUAGGCGCGUUUUGAUAAGGAACAGCAUCAUCCCUAUCUUAAGGGUCGGAAACGAGAGGACGUACGAAGGAAGAGGGCGGGAGAGACAGAGAGGAGGAGAGAAAAUGGCGGCCUGGAGGGUAAUCCGACACCAAAUCGAAGGAGACGCCAUCGCAAAGCGCGGCGCCGCCCCUUUAUCAUUGGGUCUUGGCUUCGACACGGUGUCAUCCUUGCGUAUAUAGUCUAUUUAUUGUUACACGAAAAAACAAGCUUUUUUCUAGAGAAUUAGGCUUUUGUAACUUGAAAAUUUACAGGGAAAGAUAUAAACAUUAAAUUGUCGCUAAAAAUAUUGUCUUUGAAUUUAUAAAAAAAAAACAAUUAAUCUCUUAACUCUUUUCUCAUAAUUUACUUCGCCUCGCAAAUAACUUAUAGAUAUUUUUGGUAAGAUAUAAAUAAAAUUUUUUAUUUAUAUCUUUUACGCAUUUAAAAUCACACUUUUGCAUUAUUUAUUUUUAUUGUAUUUUAAAUCAAGUUCAAAAUGAGUUGCUCUGUAACUGCUUCUUUGAAUUCUGAUUUCUUCGAGAGCGUGUUAUGCUACGUCUGCAUCGUAGGAUAUGUACGAAUGGCAAUUAGCCGAAAAAGGCGGGGACAAUUCAAAGGAUUGGCAAGGCGUAGCGAAGAAAGAUGUCUUCGGUCAUCUCCUGGUUGCAUCGGCUCUCCUUGAUACAUAACGCCUGUCUGCCAGACCUCGCUAUUUUCAACCACCCGAUUUCCGUCACACGAGAAACACUAAAUUUAUAACACUCGUCGUAAUUUUUUUUUCACAUUAAAAUAAACCUCGUGAGCUAUGAUUCACCUAUAAUAGUGAAUAAUAAUUAAUUAAAAC